GAUGAACGCUGGCGGCGUGCCUAAUACAUGCAAGUCGAGCGAACAGACGAGGAGCUUGCUCCUCUGACGUUAGCGGCGGACGGGUGAGUAACACGUGGAUAACCUACCUAUAAGACUGGGAUAACUUCGGGAAACCGGAGCUAAUACCGGAUAAUAUAUUGAACCGCAUGGUUCAAUAGUGAAAGACGGUUUUGCUGUCACUUAUAGAUGGAUCCGCGCCGCAUUAGCUAGUUGGUAAGGUAACGGCUUACCAAGGCAACGAUGCGUAGCCGACCUGAGAGGGUGAUCGGCCACCCUGGAAGUGAGAAACGGCCCAGACUCCUACGGGAGGAAACAGUCGGGAAUCCUCCGGAAGGGGCGAAAGCCGAAUGGAGCAACGCGGCGUGAGUGAUGAAGGUCUUCGGAUCGUAAAACUCUGUUAUUAGGGAAGAAGAAAUGUGUAAGUAACUAUGCACGUCUUGACGGUACCUAAACAGAAAGCCACGGCUAACUACGUG
Molecule: ribosomal RNA, 497 nt
Filed under: uncultured bacterium
Lineage: Bacteria
Description: partial 16S ribosomal RNA
Rfam family: Bacterial small subunit ribosomal RNA
Source: RNAcentral